Molecule: long non-coding RNA, 7380 nt
Organism: Falco peregrinus (peregrine falcon)
Lineage: Eukaryota; Metazoa; Chordata; Aves; Falconiformes; Falconidae
Exons: 7
Source: RefSeq, a predicted model, not a curated record
AAUUAAGCAAUUAGUCACUAGUUGUAUUUGCUUUGUUUCUGAGCUAGUGGCAAACACUGCAGUAAAAUGACAGCUAAUCAUCUCCUUCUUUUCACUUUGACACCACAAGUUAGAAAGAGUGUUAAUGAAAAAUCCCCAGCAAUUAGUUAAAGGUGCAUCAGGUUUUUGCGCUGCAGUUUUUUCUAGCAAUGAGAAGGAAUGUAUCUGUUUUGGUCAUGCUGCUGUAUAUUUUAGCAAGUAAAAAACUCACCCAACUGUAAAGCCUAGGAGGAAGCUAACAAAACCAGUGUGAAACAAGUCAGCACCGUACUGGAACAGAAGAAAAGCAUACACAAAAUAAUCAUCCUCUCCAUAUUGAUGAGUUCUGGUUUAAAAUGUGCCAGAAGCAAAGCUGAACACUAUUCAAGAUGAACACUUUAGUUUGAGCUGUGCUCAGGUGCCUGUAUGCAAGUUUGUGCGUAGGGGGCAGGGAUUGAUGGAGUGAACGAAAAUAUGCCCCAUCUGCACAUUGGACAGGAAAAAAGAGAAAAGGGUGAAUUCCCAUUUUCGCUUUGAGUCAAGAAAUGAACAUAGUAAAAAGUAGCACUGCACUGCAAAAGGCAGUUUAUAACAUUAGAGGAGACAAAACGGUGAAGACCACUGCAUAUUUUACAGUAAAACCUGCUACUUGAAAGAAUCACUGUACAAUAACACCAGAGACCGUUUGGGUGGCCUACGGACAGCAUCAUGUCAUACCGUGCUGGGGUGCCUCUGUGGCACAGCAAGCAAUAGCAAGGACAGAAGAGCAGUGUGAGGUGGCACUGCAGGACGUGGUCUGCCUCCCCUUGGGGUGACUCCUAAGUAUCUGCUUGCAGACCUCAACUUCUCCUGUGCCCCGCCAGCAUGUGUGCUGCAAACCACUGAGCAGUCAUCAGAUUCUGCUUGUACUUCAGCUCCUGCAGCAAAGAAGAGGCUUUGGUGUCACGCUGCAUGACCAAAGGGGAAGGCUGAGGAAGAAGCCACCUCUGCAGAUCUCAGGAUGUAGCAAUGCAAGCGCUUUCUUCAGCAGCAAGGCCAUUUAAAGAACUUUCUACUUGAGGUUACUGCUGCUCUGCUGUAUCUCUGUGUCACACUACUGCAGUCUGAGGAGCCUCUGUGACAGUAGCUGGGGUCAUGAAAAUGAUCCAGCUUAAAACCCCCCCUUGCAAAAGCCUUAAGAGGUUGUUGGGGUUUUUCUUGUUGUUCUGCUUUGUUUUGACUGGAAUCUUUUUUUUGCUAUCAGCUCUGCUUUCUCCUUAGCACAACUGACAGAUUUGCAAAUAGUGAUGAGUUGCUAGAAGUCAGAAACUCCUCUUCUACUGGCUUUGCUACUGAUCAAAAAUGUGGAUCGCCUACGCAAUCAGUACCUCCUUCAGCACGCAAGGCUGAGGGGGGCAGGGGGUAUUGCUCAGCAACACCAUUGCAGGAACAGCAAUCUGGUGCCGCUGCAAGCAGCAUUCGGCCCUUUAACUGUACCUGAAAUUCGAUUUCUGGCAGAAUCAUUUCAAGGAAGAGGAUUUAGGGAAUUCUGAGCUCUGCAGCCUGGUCCACAUUUAACCCUCUUACAGGUAUAAUAGUAUCACUUGGGCAGGAUUUGUUAUUUUUCAGGUAGCUGUAUCAAUAAAAUCUCUGAUGUGAAUUUAAUUAUGCCAAUAUAGAAUUAUCUUAAAUAGGAAUACUAACUAUUCUGUUUCUCAUAUACGAAUUACUCUAUGAAUACAACACACUUUGUUAUGACUUCCCGCUUAAAUAAAUCUGCGAUUUGUUUAUAGCAGGUUAGGGAAUGCUCUGAGGUGACUAGCUCAUACCAUCCUUAACAGAUAAAACUUUAACGUACUAUCUUUGAAAAACAGCAUUUCUUGGUAAUUUUUUUUCCCAGAUGUCUCCGUUUCUGUCUUCAUCUACAACUAGACGUUUACAACAGAAAUGACCGUGUAUGCCUGUGCCUACAGAUGUAUCUUUUCUAUGUGCACACAUACAGAUGUGAAAAGCUAUAUAGCACAGUUGCUUUGCAUAAUGAGUUUCAUUUGUUUUCACAGGCCAGCAUCUUAAGCGAACCUUGGAAAAACUAUUGUGUGAUCAGUCAUCGCACUGAAGCAGCAGCACCCAUUUGGUACAGUUGAGUUUUAUGCUACAUUCAGUGAAUUGAGUCAGUUUGUUGAAGGGUGAAAUGUGCUCAUGUUGGUGCAACAGAUAUGGCAGGCGUGCACAGCUGGAACUGGAAGGAAACCAAGAGAAAAAACAAGAAGGCACUGAAGAUGCUACUCCAGAUCAAUGGAGGCUUUGGAAAACCACAUUUUUUCCAUAAUCACUGCAAACGUGGGAUAUACAAGUAACAAAUGAAGAACUCUCUUUUGGAGCAUCCAGACUUCACCCAGAAGCAAUUAUCAUAAGAUUCAGCAUUCCUUUCCAUAUAGCUGAAUUUCCAGUCCCAAUCCUCUUCCUCUGACUAGCGUAAGCAUUACACAAUUGCUUUUAUAUUGAACCCAAGGAAAGACUCUAUCGAUGCUUCUGUUUUCUCUUCUUCUGUGUAACUAAGCCUACAGUUCUUCAAAUCCCUGGUGGGCAGCAUUUUUAGGUGGUUUCAUAGCCACUGCAUUUCCACUUUUAGCUCUGAGCAUGUUCUCUUCCUAACCUGCCUGCCUGUUGCUGGCCAGGGAUAGGCAGUGAAGCACCAGUGCUGCACCUCUGCCCCAGGCACCCCCUCUCUCUCCCAGGAUGGUUGCAUCUCAGGUGCUGAGGAGCAAAAGGAGCUGCUUAAGCCUCCCCUGCUACAGGUUUGACCCCCUGGUGUUGAAAGUCCAGCUGAAAAGUCACAGGAGGUCCUUUCUUCCCCUCCUUCUAGCACCAGCCAUUCACCAGCUUUGGUGUUUGCCUCUCAGGGAACAAGUUAGGUCACUAAGCCAGCCAAAAACAUACCUUGCUGUGGCAGGGAGAUGUUGGGCUGGACCAGUCAUCCUCAUGGUGCAUGUCCUGAGAGACACUUGGCCAUCAGAGCACAGAGAUGCUGCAGGUACUUUGCCAUGCCUUCCCAGGGGCAUAUCUCUUACCAGCUGAGGAAUGCUGCUCCACAUCAUGGGCAAAUGACUGAGGUAAUGGAAGCUUGCCUCAGAAUGGUAUUUUCUUAAAUUUUUUUUAAGUGCAUCUUUCAUUGUCCCGCAGACUAGAAGGUUACCCCCCUUCGGUCACCCUCCUCCCCUGUUGUGGAGUAUUUCUUUUAACCCUGAUCAUUUCAGAUGUCUGAUGUACGAGUAAACCAUAGGCAACUGUUGCUGCAUCGCUGGGCGAGGAGGGCUAUGACACCCAGCAGGCACGAGGAGAGGGUGGGUAUGACUCUGUCCUACCCAGCCUUCACCUUCAAACCAGACCUUCACCUGGUACUGCCGUCAGCUGAGCCACUGCUAGCAACUGCCUAUAUGCUUGUAGCCCGUUCACAGGGCAAAUAAAAUGCUAAUUGCUUAAGCAGCUAAGAAGAUUGCAUUUUAGUUGCUCUUUGAACUGGUCAAAGAGUGCACGUGCACCAGUGCUUUUAGCCACACCACCUUGAUCUCCGGGAGUUGUGUGCCCAUAUCAUGCACCACACGUAAGGAGGUGCUGAGUGGAUUCCAGAGGCUGCAAAAUAAUCACACUUGGUAUUGCUGAACCAAGGGUGGACACGUGAAGGGAAAUGGAAACAUUAAAGCUGAGAACAGGAAAACUCACAAGAAUGUCAGAAACCUGAAGAAAAAAAAAGGAGACAAAGAUGUAAUUUCCAAAACAAUAACCAGAGAUCAAAGGAGGCUGAUGUUCUUUCAAAUCGAUGUUUGUGACAAAUCUGCAGGAGAAGGUUAAAGAGGAGCAUUAUUUUGAAAGGUGCGGUGAAAAAAGAGUAUUGCAGAGAAGCAACAGACAGACCCUGUAGCUUUUUUCUUGGCUCUCUUCUUGCCAUCACCCUCUGCAUUUCUGUGCUAGCCAUGCUGAGGUUUUCUGAGAAAAAUGCCACAGUGUGCUUCACUUUAAAUUGGCUUUAAAUUGAGCAGAGAUUAAGCUGUUCUACCCUCUGCUAUAACCAUAUGCCAUGGAAAUUCUCCUUACUCAUUCUUUGAGAUGCCUUGUUUUCUCUGCUAUUGCUAGAUCCAGUCAAUGCAUUUAAGGAUUGAACUGCACAGAUUUUCCCUUUUAGCAUUAUUCUUCACCAUACUCUGAUUUUAUUGCUUGUUUCCAAUUUCUGUCAAAACGAAUAAAUAAUUAGGGAUACCAAAAUGUUUCAUGUUGACACCUUAAUACGAGCAUUUCAGUUUUCCAUUUAUGAUACUUCAUAAUGAUAUUCCACAUGAUAUUUCACUAUGAAGAUUUGGUUUAUUUGACAUAGUUCUAAAAGCUGGAAAAGAAACUUUUUCUUCAUAAUUUGAUGCAGAAUGUCCAGCCUGAAGUGAACUUUUUUUUUCCUUGAUCAUCCCAAUCAUUGCCGUGUUUUUUGUGCCUCUUCAUGUGUGUUCUGGCAAAUGGAAAAAUCAGAUGCUCACCCUGUUUUGGCAACCACUCUAACAUUUAAUAGUCAUUCUCUGUGCUUUCUUAGGUCUUUGCGAUUCAGUACACAUGCUCUGAAAUAUUUCUAUGCUCGCUUUUUAUUUUUUCACAGGUGGGGAACAACGUCAGGGUUAUGUGCAGUGGGUAAUCAGUAUUCCAGAGAAUGAAGGACCAAGAAUUAACUGGUGGAGUACACAGAGAAGAGCCUGACCUUUGGCGUAUAUAAACUCUGCAAUUAGUCCUUGUCCUUCCCACUUUAUGCAUGAGGGUUAAGCGGUCUGAUACGAAAAGGGGAGGUCAGCAAGCCAACGUGCCAAAGUAGAACUACCCAGGCAAUGUAAGGAAGCUUCUAAGAGUUCAGGAUAACACAGGUUGAAGAAAAUGCUGGGACUUGACUGACUCCUGGGAAGAGGGGGUGAGGAGACUGCAGUGGGGAGAGGUGCGGGCCCUUCACCCCCCGUUACUGCAGCGGUAGGCCUGGCACCAUGGCCACUGCCUCUGCCUCCCUGGCACUGUCCUCACGCGCCUGCUGUUAGCCCUGCCUCUGACGCGCCGGGUGGCACGCUUGGGUGACGAGGAGCAGGUACGGAAAACCUGUGAACGGCUUGUGCCGCUCGGGGAAUAGCUAGGCAACGCCUGGGGCUGGCGACUGGAGACAAGGUGCUGUCUUUCUACCUUAAUAGUGUCUGUCUGCUUCUAACAGGGCCAGAGAAAUUUUCUAAUUUUCUUUAACUUACCCGGCCUAGCUAGGGGAUUUGGAUUUAGCAGCUGUUUUGACAGGCAGUAGCGUCCUUUAAUUUUUUCUCUCGCAGAAAAAGAAAUAGCGAGGCUUUGGGAUUUAAAUGAUGUCUGUAUUUUUAACCUGUUCCUUGAUGUUUAAAGAAAGACAAAUGUAACCUUUUUAUAAGGUUAAGAAAAUGGUCAGGAGAAGCCAGUGUUUUAGACAAAAAAUUGUCUUUUCAUUAGUGCAAAACAUUCUUUAGGGUUAUUUAACAUCUUCCAUAAGUUAGUGGAAGACUGCCUAAUGUGGGUUGAUGUGGACUACUAUGCUUUAUUAGUUCUAUAGACCUACACAGUGCUUUUUUUGUACCUAGUGGAAAUGGGUAAAAGGGCCUUAUUUAGCUGUUUUUCAGUUCCCAUUUUACCCACUGACUGGAAAGACCAGACACUUUUUUGGCUCUGAAUGUCUUCCAAAAAAUCUGUGCUCCUUCCCUUCCUGAAGGGAUUCGAGGGAACUCACAACAGGGGGCUCUCAAGGCUUGCUUAAGGAAAAACAUGUAACUCAGCCCUGCAUUUCUUCAGUCUAAACGAAAUACCCCAAACUAGAAUAUGAGCCAAGAUUUCUGUAAGAAUGAUGUUGUGCGUGAACAAGACCAGUCCAGUACUACGAGAGAGUUAUUACACCGGUAUAAAUCAGAGCAGCCUGAAUUCCACACUUGCAUUGCUUCUCGGGCUAGCACUGAGAAAGCUUUUCAGGCCUGAUUAGUCGUUUGAGUGAAGUGUAAUAAAUAUCAGAGAAACUAAUUCAAAAAACCUCUCGGUAAAUGUGAGGCAUAGCUGCUCUCUAGUGGACUUGUGAAUAGUGUUAGCAGUGUAGGUACGCUUCACAUCCCCAGAAAAUAAUCGUGUGGAUAGUCUGCUGAGAGACAGAAGAUGAACGGUGCCUCCGCAUGUGAGUUCAGCUGCUGCUUCGUUUCCUUGCUGUCUCUUCCCCUCCUUACGGAGCUGACUUACAUCAGGGUUACAGCAAAUAGCAGAAUGCAAUAGCAACUUAAAAAAAUAUCCCCAUUGCUGUGGCAAGCAAUAUUUAAUUAUCUAUAUGUUGUAGUUCUGUUUGCAGACGGCAGUGUUUCCAUUUAGCAUCGUGCGAGAGUGGCAAGUAUCUUAGAGCUAAGGAAAACCAUUUUACCAGAAAAGGGGAGGUGUACAAAGUACUUUUUUCCUUAUGCUGUACAGAAAAAUACCUGCUGCACAUAGGACCUUCGCAUUUGGGAAAGUGAGAUCCUCUCGGGCUUUCUCAGGAGAAAAAAACUACUGAUUUCAGUGGGAUCAACAUCAAAUCGAGUCAGUCUGCCCGGGCAUAAGUGUGUGCACACAGAGGACCAAAUAACAUGAUUCAAACCCCCUAAAAGUUUAUGAGAGAGACUGAAAAAGUUAAUCUUUAAUACUAUGAACAAAAUAAUGUGUGCAACAAAACAGCCUGUACUUAACCCAACAUCGUUUUUUUUAUAUAUGUGAGAAGGUUUGCUUAAGAUGUAACAUCUAUUUCAAAAGGAACUUUAGGCAUAACCUGGACAUCCCAUUUCUUAGAUUUUCAUUAAAUUACUGAGAACGGUGUUCCCACCAUAAAGAAGUCUGUCAAAAUACUGAAGAUGUCAAAAGAGUAUCUCAUAUUAUGGAUUCUUACACAACCCUUAUCUUUUGUGUGUGUGCCAACUUUAUUAACAAGUUAAUUGUGGUGCAAUGGUAAAGAAAAUGUAUUUAGAGUUGUAUUACCUAAUUAAAUUUUAAAUUAAUGGUACCCACCUUAAUCCACAGAAAGCUAUAAAGAAAAAAAGAUAAAAAAAAAUCUCAGUUAGUGGGGGAAAGAAGAAUGAUAAAGAACAGAGUUGGUAAAUGGUUUCUUUUGGUGGUCCUUUGGUUCCCUCCAAGGAAGCGUACUGCAUGCUGCCUGGAUCAAGUCCCUCAGCAAGACAGUACUUGCUGUGUAUUGCUGCGUAACAUGAGUAUGUUACAGUAGUAGUAGUGAUGUACCUGCUAUGAUGGAAAACAGACAUUACAGUGAAUGUAUACACUACAUUGCAAUCACUUGUACAACUAUGGGAACGCACGUGUGGAAGAUAGAGGGAAGGA